RNAcentral lists this ribosomal RNA (755 nucleotides) under Astrochapsa mastersonii. RNAcentral's name for it is "partial large subunit ribosomal RNA". It matches the Rfam family "Eukaryotic large subunit ribosomal RNA", at positions 398 to 1126 of the family's 3401-position model. Lineage: Eukaryota; Fungi; Ascomycota; Lecanoromycetes; Ostropales; Graphidaceae. The record is from RNAcentral.
CGUGAAUUUGGGAAAGAGAAGCGCUUGCAACCAGACUUGUUGCAGCAUUCAGCCUCUCGAAAGAGCGGUGCAUUUGCUGUAGUGCAGGCCAACAUCGGUUUAGGUGGUUGGACAAAAACUCGAGGAAGGUAGCUUUUAUACGGAAAAGUGUUAUAGCCUCUUGUGUAAUACAACCUAUCUGGACCGAGGACUGCGCUUUCUGCGAGGAUAUUGGCGUAAUGGUUGUCAGCGACCUGUCUUGAAACACGGACCAAGGAGUUGACCAAUUGAGCGAGGAUUAGGGUGUAAAACCCUUGUCCGUAAUGAAAGUGAACGUAGGUGGGAGUCUUUGGACGCACCAUCGACCGAUCCGAGUUCGCGAGGAUUUGAGUAAGAGUUUAAUUGGUCAGACCCGAAAGGCAAGUUUAUAUUUUAUAAAUUCCUACUUUUGUAAUCAUAGUUAGCUAUUUUUUAGAAGGUGAACUAUUCCUGAAUAGGGUGAAGUCAGAGGAAACUCUGAGGGAGGCUCGCAGCGUUUCUGACGUGCAAAUCGAUCGUCAAAGCUGGGAAUAGGGGCGAAAGACUAAUCGACCCUUAUAGUAGCUGGUUCCUGUCGAAGUUUCCCUCAGGAUAGCAGCAACGAUUAACAGUCUCAUGAGGUAGAGCAACGAUUAGAGGCCUUGGGGUUGAAACAUCCUUAACCUAUUCUCGAACUCCGAAUAUGUGAGAAGUCCUUGUUACUCCAUGAACGUGGACAUUGAAGAAGUUUUUGCCCC